Molecule: long non-coding RNA, 362 nt
Filed under: Volvox carteri
Lineage: Eukaryota; Viridiplantae; Chlorophyta; Chlorophyceae; Chlamydomonadales; Volvocaceae
Description: long non-coding RNA (VCAR_LNC002634)
Source: RNAcentral
ACCGUUGAAAGUACCAGCACCGUUUGCGGGGCAAGCAACUUAACCUAAUGUACCCGAAAGCCCAGUUUCAACAUGUGCAUGUAAAGCUAUUAGCGAUCCUGAGUCUUCCCUCGAGUGCAGAUAGGCACUCAAGAGGCACAACACUGCAAAAGCUUCACUAACCCAUUUUUCCACCCUUUUAAUGCAUAAGGGCUUUUACUGUCGGUCACACUCGGACAUUCCGUCCGGAACUCUCAGUACACAAAUUUACUACCCGAGAGCUCUCACCCCUUGCUGACUGUCAACCAUAUCGCUGUUGGGCCACACUUGUGCAGGCCCCGCAUAUUCAGAACGUAAAACAACUUUGGUAACCUAGGGCAACG